Molecule: long non-coding RNA, 1070 nt
Organism: Limulus polyphemus (Atlantic horseshoe crab)
Lineage: Eukaryota; Metazoa; Arthropoda; Merostomata; Xiphosura; Limulidae
Exons: 3
Source: RefSeq, a predicted model, not a curated record
CAAAUCAUUAAUUUUACAGAGAGAGAGAGAGAAUUUAUUCACUUGUCCAGAAAUCUAGAAGCCUAGUCAAAGUUAGCCUGCAAAAAGAAACCAAAAUGAAACUCUUCAGUAUUUUUGUGAUCCCACUUCUAUGCCUGACCAUGCUGGGCCUAUUUGGCAAGUCUUUGACCGAUCCUGUUAAGGUGGAGAAAUACGAACGAGCUGGAGUUGAGGGACUCCUCACGGGAUUGCUUCCUGCUGAGCUCGUCCCUCUAGGAACACAAGUAUUCCCCGUUAUUGCUUCUGCCAUAUCCAACAUAGCCAGCACGCUCAGACAGCUGUUUUGGCAUUUGGUGUUGCGUAUUUUUUCUAUUUCAUCUUGGCAUUCUUUUUUCCUUCCAUUUCUUCCCUGCUCGGAGUUCCUGUCGCUACGUCUGCCGCAUUCCGUACGUUCGCUGAUGCCGUGAAUGAAGUAGAUUUUAACCGCAUAAUGACAAACCUCAACGAUGUCAACCUCACAGAAACCUCUUUCUAUUACCUGGGCAUCCAAGAAGAUGUGUGUCAGGCCAAAGCAAUGUGUGAACUGAGUGAUUAUGUGGUGAAGAGGCUCCCAGCAACUGAAGCCUUCAUAAGAUUAGCAAGCAAGUUUUUGCCUGGAAUGAAACAGUAUCAAGAAGCUAUUAUGAAAGGAACUCAAAAUUCUGAUUGUUCCUUGGCAUUCUCAGGAUGUGUUUAUUCCCCAAUGAAGAAGCUGUUCCAGUGAGGUGAGAGAACAAAGGAACCGCCAGAAAGACAAACAUCUUUAAAAAUAUAGUACUAUUGACUUGUGUUGAGUGAGUCUACAUUUAUGUAGUCUCUUAUAGCAGAAUUUUGUGACUAAUUAUUUAUCUUGGUGAAGAAAAAUAUUUUAUGAAAGCUAGUGUUAUUUUAUCAAAUGUAUUUUAAAGGAUUAUUUAUUAAUAACAUUAGGUAAUAAUUGUGCUGUACACUUACUGAUUCUAGUUUUGUCAUUUCUGCUUGUAAUCAUUAUUUAAGUAUGUUUAACUUAAUACAUCUAACGAAGUAGUAUUAUAAGAUUCCUUUGUAUUAUA